Molecule: small nuclear RNA, 103 nt
Organism: Manis javanica (Malayan pangolin)
Lineage: Eukaryota; Metazoa; Chordata; Mammalia; Pholidota; Manidae
Source: RefSeq, a predicted model, not a curated record
UAAAAUUUAAUAUUAAAGAUACCAGUUUAGAAUGAUACAGAGAAGAUUAGCGUGGCCCCUGUGCAAGGAUGACAUGUAAAUUUAUGAAGUGUUCCAUAUUUUU